CUAAAUUGCUGUUUAAGUAUUUUAAUAAAAGACUUUAUAUUUAAAAUCUUUGUUCUUUUUUUAUUUGUAAAUCUUUCCAUUAUUAGAAGUCUAUAAUUUUCUUUUUUAGUGAAAUCUUUUAGAGAGUUUUUUUGUGAAAUGAUAAAUUUGGUGCCAGCAGUUGCGGUUAGACUAAAAUUUCUAAAAUAUUUAUUAAGGUAAAUAAUUUGUGGAAUAUAAUUUUAAAUAUAUUUAGGUGAAAUUUUUAUAUAUCUUAUAUAUUCUUUAUAUUUAUUAAAAAUAAGAUUAUGGACUAGGAUUAGAUACCCUACUACUCUUAAUUAUCUCCCCUUAAAUGAUUAUAUAUAAAAUUUAAAAAUUUGGCGGCUUUAUUUUUUAGAGGAACUUGUCUAUUAAAUUGAUAAUCCUCAGUAAUAUUGAUUUUAAGUUUUUUUUGUAUACCAUCAUUUAAAUUAUUUUUCAAUAAGUAAUUAUUAAAGGUGUUUUAAGAAAGUUAGAUCAAGGUGCAGAUAUACUUAAAAUUAGAUUAGUUACAAUAAGCAUUUAUACAGUAAAAAACUUAAAAUUUUUUUUAAGGUGGAUUUAAAUGUAAUAUAAGAAUAUAUAUGAAAAUUAAAAAUUUAGUGUACAAAUUGCCCGUCACUCUCUUUGAGAUAAGUCGAAACAAAGUAGAAGUACCUGAAGGUGUUUCU
This 692-nucleotide non-coding RNA is filed under the name Metacrangonyx sp. 3 ssp. 1 MDMBR-2012. Lineage: Eukaryota; Metazoa; Arthropoda; Malacostraca; Amphipoda; Metacrangonyctidae. The record is from RNAcentral.